UACAUCGUGGACGGGUCGUCUUUAUCGGCACAGCGACAACAGCGGCGCCUUCCGCACACGCGUGCACAUAUCCACACUCUGACCUCCGUCUUUUUUUUCCCGUGCCGCUUACACUGCAUGUGUGCAUAUCUGCGCGUACACAGUUAGCGCGCUUCUCCAUUGACAUAAUCGAGCUCGUAUCGUUGACGUUCUUCUCAGACUUCUAAACCUUUUUUUUGUUGGUCGCUGCUGUCCCUUUGGUGCACAUGCAGCCACACCGCUCCCUCUGCUUCUAUCCACACCUAAGCAUCUAUCGAAGAGCCGCUGAAGGCGCCACAGAACCAAAACGUGAAAAUGCUCCAUCUUUUCUCAUCCGAGGUGGCGGCAUUGGCUUCGAUGGUGCUGUGUGGACUUGUGUAUGGCGCCUUCUACUUUUUGAACAUUACCUGGGCUCGCAAUCCGAAUGUAGCCGACGUGCUCGUGUUCAUCUGUAGCUGUAUCUUCGCAUGUCGAACGGCUGCCAAGGGUAAGGUGUGCCAGUGGCCCUCCGGUGUGGACUAUACGGGCCGCGUAGCGCUCGUCGUUGGGGCCACCUCCGGCGUCGGCUACAGCACGGCAAUGCAGCUCGCAGAGCACGGAUGGACCGUUGUGCUCGCAGCACGCAACACCGAUCGGCUCCUUUUUUCCAAAAAGACUAUAGAGCGUCACUUGCAGAAGUGCAACGCGAAGGGUUCGGUGAAGGUGCUCGGCACCGUUGACCUGCGCUCGGAUGCGUCUAUCCGCGCCUAUGUGAAGGAGCUGGCGGCAAUGAAGGCGCACCUGCCGGUAGGCCUCCUCAUCAUGGCGGCUGGCGCGCUGCAUCGACAUCUGCACUUUGUUGGUGAAGUGGAGGAGUUGAAGACAGGCAGUGCAUCUGUUGCGGCAUCGUCCAGGGCGUGGCGGUCGAUGGAGUGCAUGAUCGCCGCGAAUGCAGUGGGCCCGUAUUUAUUCACCCAGCUGAUGCUCCCUUUGUUGGAUGAGACGGCAGAGAAGACGUCGGUCACGUCGCGCAUCGUGAACGUGGCGUCGAGCUGCCACACCUUCCUGGGCCCUGGCCGUCAAGCUCGCUACAACCCGCUCGAGAUGAUCCGCGGACUCGAUGAGCGGGCCGCCGAAGUGCUUCCCGGAGGCGGCUGUGGUGAGGCGAAAGAGGGCAAAGCUGCACGCGGCCCGUACUACAUUCGCGACUACAGCUGGGCCAAUUUUGUUGGUUACUAUGGCCUUUCCAAGCUCUGUGUAAUGUGGAACACGCGACUCCUGGCCCGGCAGGUCGCGACGAUGCGCUUCAUCCCAAAGACUGCGGCGAAGACGCCUGCGCUGCGCAAACCCGCAGCGAAGUGCACCACCGCAGACUCUACCCAGAGCGUCACUGCAACCCCAGAGACAGACCGACAGGACCAACUCAAGAUUUUCGUCGCCUGCACUCACCCCGGCAUCAUCACCACCUACCUAUACCGUGACAUUUUCGCGCCGUGGGUGCUCGACUACUUCUUCUACUACCCUUCCCUGGUCUUCGGCAAGACAUGGAUCGAGUCUGCGCAGUCGACUCUCAAGGCAGCGGUGGAGGACACGGGUAUGGUACAGGGAGGCUACUACCUCUGCAGCGGGGAGUACGGCCCGGAGAGUGGUGUCAACUGCGUCUCGGCACACGCGCAGCGUCCGAAAAACAUAGAGGAAUAUCAAAGGUGGAUGAUGGCACGAGUCACGCCGGCGCUGAAGGCGGAGAAUGAGAUGACCGCGAAGAAGCAAGACGAAGCGGCCCCGCAAUGAGCCGCACAACCUCCCUCCCCCCAUACAAUCUGUGAGGAGGCAGCAGCGAUGUUUGACAACUCUUCUCUGCUGAACCUUGCUCCUACUCUCGUCGUGUUAAAGUUUGCGGGAUGAGAUGGACGUGGCAACACAUAUCGAUCGAGGGAGAGCGAAGGCGCUUCUGGGGCAGCUGCUGGGUUCUGUGAGUUUUGAUUGCCAUUGUGACGAGUGAAAGAAUGCGGCGCUGAGUCCAAGGACGAAGGCGAAAAAACAUUGAGGAGGGAAUGAUGGGCGAGAAGAGACGAAGCCAACGUGUGCACGCGUUUGUGCGCGUGUGCUUGCACUCGCAUAGAUAGAGACGUGCUGGCGCCUCGCCCAACGCCUCUUAUCAUAGGUUGCCGAGUCGCGUGCUCGUCGUCCAUCAAGGCACCAACUUCUGCUGUCAACGGAGUAGGAGGAGGGCAACAGCUCCGAUUCGUGAAACGCGCUGCUGCUGAGAGCGACGACCCAUUCAUCUGGCUUGCCGAUGCUCCAAGAAAAUAAACGAAUGACCACCGCCUGAAACUGAGGGUGAAGCAUUAAAAGAAGGCAUGCGGCCCACCCGCACCCCAUCUCUACUGGCUGGCAAUGAGCGAUACGGGUCACCGCUGUCGCAGCCCAGCAGUGCCAUAUGCGUGUGUGUGUGUAUGUGAGCUGCACUCUGUUGCGGUGCUUCUCCGCCCACCUCGUUGCCUGAUAAUGUAUGGUGCCUCCCUCCUUUUGCGAUGGAAGAGAGGGGGAGCUGUCCGGUGCAAUGUGUGGCUGCCAACUGGCCAAUUCGCGUUCUCCUGCAGGCAUGCAUAUGCGUGCGACUCUUCUCGUGGAUAUCACUGAUCCUUGACAUAAAGCAACACAAGCACUCCCGAUACAGAUGCCGCCGUCCUUUUCUGCACUUACGAGAUACCCUCUCUCUUUUUUUUCUUUGGGUCGCCGCUGCUAUCCGUCAUCAUUGUGUGUCUCUACGCGCUUGUGGCUCCACCCACAUUACCCAUCGUGUGCGUGAUCUCUUUCGAAACUUCCACCCUUGCGCGCGAGAGCAG
Molecule: unclassified non-coding RNA, 2846 nt
Filed under: Leishmania donovani
Lineage: Eukaryota; Euglenozoa; Kinetoplastea; Trypanosomatida; Trypanosomatidae
Description: gene:LdHU3.35.2820(CDS-product:short_chain_dehydr ogenase_putative)
Source: RNAcentral